RNAcentral lists this ribosomal RNA (741 nucleotides) under uncultured Pseudomonadota bacterium. Its description in RNAcentral is "bacterial SSU rRNA". It matches the Rfam family "Bacterial small subunit ribosomal RNA", at positions 582 to 1324 of the family's 1533-position model. Lineage: Bacteria; Pseudomonadati; Pseudomonadota. The record is from RNAcentral.
CUUAAGUCAGGAGUGAAAGGCUACGGCUCAACCGUAGUAAGCUCUUGAAACUGGGAAACUUGAGUGCAGGAGAGGAAGGUAGAAUUCCAGGUGUAGCGGUGAAAUGCGUAGAGAUCUGGAGGAAUACCGAUGGCGAAGGCAGCCUUCUGGCAUCAUACUGACACUGAGGUUCGAAAGCGUGGGUAGCAAGCAGGAUUAGAUACCCUGGUAGUCCACGCCGUAAACGAUGUCUACUAGUCGUUGGGUCCCUUGAGGACUUAGUGACGCAGCUAACGCAAUAAGUAGACCGCCUGGGGAGUACGGCCGCAAGGUUAAAACUCAAAUGAAUUGACGGGGGCCCGCACAAGCGGUGGAGCAUGUGGUUUAAUUCGAUGCAACGCGAAGAACCUUACCUGGUCUUGACAUAUCUAGAAUCCUGCAGAGAUGCGGGAGUGCCUUCGGGAAUUAGAAUACAGGUGCUGCAUGGCUGUCGUCAGCUCGUGUCGUGAGAUGUUGGGUUAAGUCCCGCAACGAGCGCAACCCUUGUCCUUAGUUACCAGCGGUUCGGCCGGGAACUCUAAGGAUACUGCCAGUGACAAACUGGAGGAAGGCGGGGGCGACGUCAAGUCAUCAUGGCCCUUACGACCAGGGCUACACACGUGCUACAAUGGUAGGUACAGAGGGCAGCUACACAGCGAUGUGAUGCGAAUCUCAAAAAGCCUAUCGUAGUCCAGAUUGGAGUCUGCAACUCGACUCCAUGAA